AUGGCUCCCCACCCAGGAGCUACAGCUGGAGAGAUGGACCCAAAGACGCAGCGCACCCAAAGACGCAGGGCGGAGGCAAGGAAGUCGCUGAAGCAUCCUCAGGUGCCUGGCAGCGCAGAGCAGGAGACAGGGGCAGCUAGGAGCUCUUGGCUCAGCACUUUCCGUGAUAAGAAGGCACUCUCAGGAAUCUCCUUUGUCAGCGCUGCUCCAGGACUCAGAAGAAAUGACGGUGGCCAGGUGCAAUUUCUGCAGCCCCAGGGAAGCUGGCCCGGAGGACCAAACCCAGUGGCACCGAGGGGUGGGCCCAGCGCCCUAAUGGAACAUAAAGGAAAGGAACGCGGCGGGGACGAAGGAAGGGGAGACCGAGAGAGAGCAGCUGGGACCCGCCUCUCCCAAAGGGCGCUCCCAACCCUAGGAUCUACAGGAGAACCUCGCAGAGUGUGGAACCUAGGAGGUAUCAGCGUUCCUGAUACACAGCACCCCAUCUUCUUCCUGCCUGAGGAACCAGCCCACAGUCUGGGGGCUUGGCUGCUGCUUCAAGCUCAAGUGAGAAGACACUUUCUACCCCAGACACCCGGUGUCCUGCCUUCCUAACUCCAACUGGUCUGUGCUGCUUCCCCUAACAGCAUGAACAGAAAACACGUACAGUGUGCCGCAGCUGGAUGCCCCCAUCACCCCAAGCUGGAAGCUCAGCUCCUCCCUCCCCAGCUCUCCAUUUGUUUUUCUAUAUUCCACUGUGGCUAGAUAGUCCCUUUAAAUUAAAAAAAAAAAAAAAAAAAAAAAGUGAAACAAGAAAUUGUUUACUCCUGUGGCCAGGGCUCCCAUCAGCAUAGGGCUGAAGUCUUUGGGCAGAGGGCUCUGCCCCGGGAGGGCCGCGCCAGGACCCGGAGACAACAGGCUCUUGGGUGUCCAGCCCGCCACUUUUCAGGACGCUCAACUCCAUCCUCCUGCACUUCCCCUCUCGCCCUCACUCCCGCCUCUCCCACCUCUUACCUGUCCCGUGACCUUUGGGCAGGUGCGAGGAGGAGGGGCUACGCUGGGGGGGCGGGGGAGGGGAAGGUGCUAGGAAGGGAAGCCGCCUAAGGCUCCGGCUGCAGCAGCUGCCGACUGCGAGGAGCAGAAAAGGCAGAGGGUGACGGGGACCGAAAUGGAAAACAGGAAAACACAUGUGUGACUCUGGCCGGCAGCGGGGAGGGGCCAGGGGAUGGGCUGGAGCCUGGACUGCCUGGUCAGACCCAGAGGACCUCGUCGCCUGCCCGCCUCUAGGAACCUACUCUACUCAAGUCUCAGCUCCUCCGGUUGCCCACCUCAGCCCUGAUCUUCCUUGUUGCCCUGCGUCCCAGCGGUCCCAGUGACUGACGGUGCCCUCCUGUCGCCCUUUACCAUUUGCCUGUUCCCCUCAUCCCAUCUACCCAUCUCCCACUCCCAUACUAUCCUUCGUCCUGCAGAGGGUAUAGGAUUCAUCGUUUGGGCCCAGGAUUCAGGAUUCAGCCCCCGUGUCAGGCAACACAUACUGAGGAAGACCCCUUGUAGUGAUACAGCCAGAUGCCCCACGCCCAGCUCGGGUCCCCACUCGAUUCAGGCGAUGCAUGUGCAGCCAGGUAAGAGCCAGCUCUGGCACCCUGGGCAAGCUAACCAGCUGGCACCCCUUCAAACCAGGAUCUUUUAAGUAUCUGUUGGAUGUCGACUGAGCAGAGGUGGAGGAACACAGAUUUUCUCAGAAUCAAAACUAUCAGCCUCAUUGUUUCUAUUUGAAAUUAGAGCUUAUUCCAAGAAUUCCUUACGUGCGACUUUCCGAAGUAGUUUCUUGGUGGCCAUAUGAAACCACUGCAACUGCAGACAAUAGCAUCAGUCUCUCUUGGGGAAUGGCACUUCACAGUGCAUGGGGCUUUUUCAGAAUUCCAGCUGUGAUUUCUGCCUACAUACAGCUGGACUACCAGCUGGCCAGUCUCAGGGCUACCCCCUGCAACUUAUACCUGUACCUGCGUGUUGCAAGAUUAUUCUAGAGACUGACAGUCCGGGUAAGCAGUCGUCAAGGAUUCCGUCUGUGGAUGGAGCCAACUUACAGUUCACCAAAACACAUGGACAGAAAUUGGAGUUCGUUGGCACCAAAUGUCUGGAUUACUCCAAGCAGAACAGUGCCAUUCUACACCUGGGCCACUGCCCAGCUGGCCUGCCCCUUAACUCCACUCUGGAGUCAGGCCCAAGGGGUAAAUGAGGGAAGUCCUAGAAGACAGCCCUAAAGCCACCCCCCUUGGCACUGGCCCCUGCACUGUCACUCCACUGAAGCCACCCUGGCCUCCUUGCCGUUACCACACAACAGAUAUGCCCCCUCUCAGAGCUUUCGCAAUUGCUGUGGCCUCUGCCUGCAACAUUCUUCCCAGUGACAUUGUUCAUUUUCUACUCACUACAUUCAGGUCUAUGUUUAGACAUCACACUACCAGAGGUCUUCCCUAAGGAGUCUCUGAAGGAGCGACUUCUUCCCUCUUCAUCCAUUCACCAUGCUGGACUUUUCUUCCAGGGCACCACCGCCCAGAGUUCAUUUGCAUGUUUGCUGUCACCUCCCUCACUAGAAUGCAAGCAACACCAGAGCGGCUCACCAUUCACCCUGUGGCCCCAGGGCAGAGCACAUGUAGACAGUCAGAAAUAAUGGCUGGAAGAACAAAUGCAUGAAUAAACAAUGCUGUUCCUCCUACACUGAUUGCCCAGAGGCAGGGACUCUGGGAAUGUCCUUGAACUUGCCCUUCUGGCCCACCUAUCCUGUGGCUCUUGGGCUCCUAAACUAAGCAAGGAUUUGGAAGUAUGUAUUCUUUUUUGACAGUAAUGGGUUAAAGGGAGAGGGAGGGCAUAAUUUUCAGUUGGACUGGGAGGCCUAUAAAGGUUUGAAAUGAACAUUUCGUUUCAUUAAUGGGAAAACAAAACCCCCCUCAUCUCACACGCUUUCCUGGCCCCUGCUGUCCCACAUCCAGGCUCAGGUGACCGGUGUGGGUGCGGCGAGAGCAAGGUGCGUCGGCCCCUGGGCGAGGCAGAGGGGAGGCGAGGGCUCAGGUUCACGGGUCUGCAGGCGAGGUCAAGAGUGGAGCCGCAGAGCCUCAAGCGUGACCUCUUCUUCCCGGACGCCCUCCCGCAGUUCCCCCGUCGCAGUGACCCUGGGCCCACAGUCCUCCGCCCCGCCCAGCGGCUGCCUGACCUCACCUUUGCCCCUUUCUCUCACACUCCCCUCCUCCACGCCCCGCCUCGGCCCCGCUGGCGCCGGGUCCUUUUUUUUUUUUUUUUUAAGAUUUUAUUUAUUUAUUCAUGAGACCCGCAGAGAGAGGCAGAGACAUAGGCGGGGGGGGGGGGGGGGGGGGGGGAUGAAGCAGGGAGCCCCAUGCGGGACUCGAUCUCGGCACCCCGGGAUCACGCCCUGAGCGGAAGGCAGACGCUCAACCGCGGAGCCGCCCGGGCGUCCCACGCCGGGUCUCUACUACCUCUUUCCCUGGACUCCCGGCUGUUCCGGGUCUGCAGCCGGGACCUCGCCUUCCCAAACCCCAACCCAGCCACCGGCCGCCUUCUAUGCCUCUUAGAGCUCAGUCAGGAGCUGUUCCCACGUCCAGGUUCGGCUACGGAGGCCAACCCGGGGUGGGCCUUGAGGGACCAGGAGCCCAGCCCGCCUGGCGUCCCUUCCCUCCUUCCACCUAGCGCAGAGGCGCCCGCCCCUCCCCGGGCUCCGGGAAGCCCUGGGGCCGGAGGGUGGGCUGGGUGUAGGCGAAGGGCGCCUGGGUCCUAGAACGGAGGGGCCCGCGACCCGCUCCCCGGCCUCUCCUCACUGAGGCACAGCGGCGCUGCCCCUGGGCCAGGGAAGGGAGCGCGGACACCCUUAGACGUCCUCCGCCCCGGGAACGCCCGGCUUCCUCUGCCCUCCUUCCCAAUCCUGCUGGCGCAGGCGGCCCGACGCGGGCCCGGGAGAGAGCCCCAAACCCUGGCGACCCGCCUCCUGCCCCGAGACGCCCGGCUGCGUCUCCGGAGGGACUCGGGACUGCGAGUGGGGGGCGGGGGCGGGGGCGGGGGCGGGGGCGGGCCCGCCGGCCGGGGGAGGGGCCUCUCGGACGGGCGUCUCCGCUCCCCGCCCCCUCGGGGAGCUGUUGCAUCAGCUCCGGGGCCCCCGGCCCCAGACAGGGGUCUCCCCCGGCCUGGGAAGGCGUCGGGCCGUAGAGCGGCCGCCAGGAGGCAGCACUUAACAAAAAAUACCCUAGACAGCCCGUGGCGCAGCGGGUCGGCGCCGCCUUCAGCCCGGGGCCUGAUCCUGGAGACCCGGAAUGGAGCCUGCUUCUCCCUCUGCCUGUGUCUCCGCCUCUCUCUCCCUCCUCUCUCUCUCUCUCUCUCUCUCUCUCUCUCUCUCUCUCUCUCUCUCUCUCUCUCUCGAAUAAAUAAAAUCUUUUAAAAAAAUACCCUGUCUUAGGGUGCUGUAGUGGUUGGAGUCCCCAAAGCGUCUUUCUGACGUCUCUGAAGAGUCUCAGUGACAGCGUGGACUCAACAAAAGAGGGAAUUGCCAGCCUAAUUCAAGGAAAGGGAUCUGGAAACGCUUUUUUUCACCCUGCUUUAAGGCUAAAAGAUGACUUGUAAAUAAUUCGAUUUUUUUUUUGUACACCUUUUGGACAGUCCAACUUUAUCAUUUUUUUUUUUUAUAAGAUUUUAUUUAUUUAUUCAUGACAGUCACACAGAGAGAGACAGAGAGGCAGAGACACAGGCAGAGGGAGAAGCAGGCUCCAUGCAGGGAGCCCGACGUGGGAUUCGAUCCCGGGUCUCCAGGAUCGCGCCCCGGGCCAGAGGCAGGCGCCAAACCGCUGCGCCACCCAGGGAUCCCUUUAUCAUUUUUUAAAGCCAGCAUUGCCCCUCUGCAGAGAUACACAAAGAGCCAACCCCCUUCAUGACCAGCCCGGUGGCAAGACACAGCUGAGAGACUUCCCAGCUGCCAAGCAAGAAAAAAGAGUGUGGCACGAGGUCAUAAUUUACCCAUCUUGAAGCUGGGUGAUUUAACACAAAAGCUACCCCGAAUGAUUUAGCAGCCAUGGGAAAAGAAAAGGAAUGUUACAAUAAAUUAUGUAAUAAGGAAAUGAUAUACAAAGCAACAUAUUGUGCGAAGGGUGGCCUUUAGCUUCCACACUUCUUGCAUGGGGUGACAGUGAUUUCAUUGUUGAGCUGACCUAAGGAGGAAGAUAAUGAAGGAAUGUAAAAUAAGACACUUCCCAAAUAGUUUGUUCCUCUUCCACUUUCAAUUUGCU
RNAcentral lists this long non-coding RNA (5264 nucleotides) under Canis lupus familiaris (dog). RNAcentral's name for it is "lncRNA (ENSCAFG00000052972.1)". The record is from RNAcentral. Lineage: Eukaryota; Metazoa; Chordata; Mammalia; Carnivora; Canidae.